RNAcentral lists this ribosomal RNA (606 nucleotides) under uncultured Gammaproteobacteria bacterium. RNAcentral describes it as "bacterial SSU rRNA". It matches the Rfam family "Bacterial small subunit ribosomal RNA", at positions 1 to 599 of the family's 1533-position model. The record is from RNAcentral. Lineage: Bacteria; Pseudomonadati; Pseudomonadota; Gammaproteobacteria.
AAUUCGAUUAGAGUUUGAUCAUGGCUCAGAAUGAACGCUGGCGGGGUGCUUAACACAUGCAAGUCGAGCGAGGCGGAGGGGGGCAACUCCUUCCAGUCGAGCGGCGGACGGGUGAGUAACACGUGGGUAACCUGCCCGGAAGUGGGGAAUACCUCGGGGAAACUCGAGCUAAUACCGCAUAACAUCGCAGGGACGGAAGUCCUGGCGAUCAAAGCGGGGUCGCAAGAUCUCGCGCUACCGGAUGGGCCCGCGCCCGAUUAGCUAGUUGGUGAGGUAACGGCUCACCAAGGCUUCGAUCGGUAACCGGCCUGAGAGGGCGAUCGGUCACACCGGAACUGAGACACGGUCCGGACUCCUACGGGAGGCAGCAGUGGGGAAUAUUGGACAAUGGGCGCAAGCCUGAUCCAGCCAUGCCGCGUGAGUGAAGAAGGCCUUCGGGUUGUAAACCGCUUUUAGUCGGGAAGAAAGGGUUUCCUUGAAUACGGGAGAUUCUUGACGGUACCGGCGGAAUAAGCACCGGCUAACUACGUGCCAGCAGCCGCGGUAAUACGAAUCACUAGUGAAUUCGCGGCCGCCUGCAGGUCGACCAUAUGGGAGAGCUCCCAA